This 24-nucleotide non-coding RNA is filed under the name Arabidopsis thaliana (thale cress). Lineage: Eukaryota; Viridiplantae; Streptophyta; Magnoliopsida; Brassicales; Brassicaceae. The record is from RNAcentral.
AUACAAACAUAAAAACAGAAAUGU